AAUUAUUUAGUUUAGUACAAAACACUAUAUUUUCAAUAUAGAAAAAAUUAAAAUUUAAUAAUUU
RNAcentral lists this transfer RNA (64 nucleotides) under Bemisia tabaci. RNAcentral's name for it is "tRNA-Glu". The record is from RNAcentral. Lineage: Eukaryota; Metazoa; Arthropoda; Insecta; Hemiptera; Aleyrodidae.